Molecule: ribosomal RNA, 120 nt
Filed under: uncultured bacterium
Lineage: Bacteria
Description: partial 16S ribosomal RNA
Rfam family: Bacterial small subunit ribosomal RNA
Source: RNAcentral
GACGAACGCUGGCGGCGUGCUUAACACAUGCAAGUCGAACGAUGAUCUCCAGCUUGCUGGGGGGAUUAGUGGCGAACGGGUGAGUAACACGUGAGUAACCUGCCCUGGACUCUGGGAUAA